This 420-nucleotide ribosomal RNA is filed under the name uncultured archaeon. RNAcentral's name for it is "partial 16S ribosomal RNA". It matches the Rfam family "Archaeal small subunit ribosomal RNA", at positions 323 to 746 of the family's 1478-position model. The record is from RNAcentral.
CUACGGGUCGCACCAGUUAGGCAUCAUCUACAAUGCACGAAAGUGUGAUAGUUUGAGCCAGAGUGUUUCUCAACGAGAAACUUUUGCUAAGUGUAAAAAGCUUGGCGAAUAAGGACUGGGUAAGACGAGUGCCAGCCGCCGCGGUAAUACUCGCGGUCCAAGUCGCAUCCAUUUUUAUUGGGUCUAAAACAUCCGUAGCUUGCUUUGUAAGUCUCUUGUGAAAUCUCAUAUCUCAAGUAUGAGGCGCGCAGGAGAUACUGCACUGCUAGAGACUGGAAGACGUAACGAGUACGCUGGAGGUAGUGGUAAAAUAUGUUAAUCUCCAGCGGACUAACAAUAGCGAAGGCAUGUUACGAGGACAGUUCUGACAGUCAGGGAUGAAGGCCAGGGGCGCAAAACGGAUUAGAUACCCGCGUAGUC